This is a non-coding RNA of Pelobates cultripes (western spadefoot toad), 589 nucleotides long. The record is from the annotation of a GenBank genome assembly. NCBI's taxonomy places the organism in Eukaryota, Metazoa, Chordata, Amphibia, Anura, Pelobatidae.
CUGGGCCAUUCCCCUUGUUUUAUUUCUUGGAGGCCUAAAUUUAGAUGUUCGUCUAGUAAAUUUCCAACUAUACCACAUACCAUAGCUUUAGAUACAUUAUUGUUAUUAACUGAUUCUCUGAGAGCAUUCACAGAUAUAUUAAUCCACUGCAAAUCUGCAGCAACUGUGUGAAUGUUCUGUAUCGUGACAUCAGUUUCAGCUAGAGUGUUAAAAUCCACUCGUCCCUCUUUAAGCAUAAUUUGCUGCAACCCAUUAACAUAAUUUUGUUCUCGUGAGUUAAGACCCUCUAUGUCUGCCCUAUUCCAAAUUGAUGUUCCCAAACUGAGUCCUGAGAUUAUAUCAGUACCCAGAUCCCUUUUUUCUCUCUCUCUAAACUUGAGCCCUUGUGUUGCAUCCCAGAAUAGAUUAAUAUGUGCUUGAAAUACAUUUUUAAACCAUUCUUUCAUUAUCUCUGGGCAACUCUCUGGUAUAUUAAAUAAUGAAAAAUUUAACAAUAACGGUAAUGUUACAUAAGAUACAUCAGUAUACACAACAGUUUGUGUUGGUUGUAAGAAAAGGCCAUGCUCUGGCCACAGGGUGGUAGUUGGAC